Molecule: non-coding RNA, 1202 nt
Organism: Monodelphis domestica (gray short-tailed opossum)
Lineage: Eukaryota; Metazoa; Chordata; Mammalia; Didelphimorphia; Didelphidae
Source: RefSeq, a predicted model, not a curated record
GCUGGGGUGUCAAUUUAAAAUUCAGUAUCAGAGGAUCUUAAACUCUGAGGUUGGCCAACCACUUCAUUUUACAGAUAAGGAAACUGAGACCCAGAGAGAGCAAGUGAUUCUCGGAGGGUCUCAUGCAGUUAAGCAGUGGCAGAACGGUAACCAAAAACUGGGGUGAAAUGGGGUGCUCCUUAGUCCCAGUCUUUCGUCAGAACAACUUCCCCAAACUACUUGAUUGGAAAAUAAUUCAAGGGGCUGAAUCUCCCCUUGUGACCUGUCUGCUGAUCAGGAGAAGCAGUUGCUGGACAUCCUUCACAUUUCCAAGCAGAUUCCCAGCUACCUAGGACCCAGGCAUUCACUGAGGACAUGUCCCUAAGACCCUGUGCCCACAGCCUUUCCUUCCCUGCUAUCUUCAACCCCUUUUACCUUAGCUCUUAACUACCUGACCAUAACUAUUUCUUUCCUUAAAUUUUGGGUCUCCUAUGUUCUAAAUCAUGCAUACCCAACCAGCUGGACAUAUAAUUCUCUGAUUCAUCUCUCUAGUUGCUUCUAGGGUAAAAGCACUCAUGGGAGUCACCCAGAUGCCAGAUGCCACCAUAACCAUCCCAGCCUGAUGCUCUGGACAUGGCCUACAGUCAAUACCUCUCUCUCCUAAUGUUAGGCAGGGACAACUCUACACCCAUUUUCAGCUGUGAAGAAGUUACAGAAUACAGAGACCACCAUCCCUUUUCCCUUACAUAUUAGAGGGGGGAGAUGACAUGGGCACUCUACCCCAGAAACCCAGGGGAACUAUUAUCAGGGAAACUCCCUUGCCUUUGCAUCCUCUGACUCUUAACCUAGAAAUACCCAAUGACCCCACCUAGGGUCCUGAGAUGUUUACCCUCUUUUGUCCUCUAGAUUUAAGAUGGACAAGGAAAUGAAUCUUUAUGCUUCCAGGCAGACCCCAGUCAGAUGACCACCCCACCAAAUGCCUGAGGGACUAACACUAGGUCACAUCCACACCAAGACAUAACAUCUAAAGAGUAUAUAAACCCCGGAACUGAUGUUGUCUGGGGGACAGCCUUUCCACCCAUGAGGUCCCCAUGGAGGAACAGCCUUUCCAUUUGUGCUGUCCUCCCAGGAACUGCUCCAUAUCUUGCUGUCCCGCCUUGCUAUCCUCCUGGCCAUUCUCAACAUUACUUCCUAAAUUAAUAAAUUGAUCUUUUUGUUUUUAA